This 623-nucleotide ribosomal RNA is filed under the name uncultured Bacteroidota bacterium. RNAcentral's name for it is "bacterial SSU rRNA". It matches the Rfam family "Bacterial small subunit ribosomal RNA", at positions 355 to 975 of the family's 1533-position model. The record is from RNAcentral. Lineage: Bacteria; Pseudomonadati; Bacteroidota.
UGAGGAAUAUUGGACAAUGGGCGAAAGCCUGAUCCAGCCAUGCCGCGUGAAGGAUGAAUGCCCUAUGGGUUGUAAACUUCUUUUAUACAGGAAGAAACCUUUGGAUUUAUCCAGAGCUGACAUUACUGUAAGAAUAAGGACCGGCUAACUCCGUGCCAGCAGCCGCGGUAAUACGGAGGGUCCGAGCGUUAUCCGGAAUUAUUGGGUUUAAAGGGUCCGUAGGCGGAUGAUUAAGUCAGGGGUGAAAGUUUGCAGCUCAACUGUAAAAUUGCCUUUGAUACUGGUUAUCUUGAGUUGUAUUGAAGUAGGCGGAAUAUGUAGUGUAGCGGUGAAAUGCAUAGAUAUUACAUAGAACACCAAUUGCGAAGGCAGCUUACUAAGUACUAACUGACGCUGAUGGACGAAAGCGUGGGUAGCGAACAGGAUUAGAUACCCUGGUAGUCCACGCCGUAAACGAUGGAUACUAGCUGUUCGGGACCUUGAGUUCUGAGCGGCUAAGCGAAAGUGAUAAGUAUCCCACCUGGGGAGUACGUUCGCAAGAAUGAAACUCAAAGGAAUUGACGGGGGCCCGCACAAGCGGUGGAGCAUGUGGCUUAAUUCGAUGAUACGCGAGGAACCUUACC